CACUUAUCAAGAGCGAUUGAGGGACUGGCCCGAUGACAUCCAGCAACCUACCUGACGGUGUGGUGCUAAAUCCAGCGGUGUAAACCGGAAGAUGAGAA
Molecule: non-coding RNA, 98 nt
Filed under: unidentified
Description: Delta proteobacterium SAM-I sequence
Rfam family: SAM riboswitch aptamer (S box leader)
About the family: The SAM riboswitch is found upstream of a number of genes which code for proteins involved in methionine or cysteine biosynthesis in Gram-positive bacteria. The SAM riboswitch acts at the level of transcription termination control.
Source: RNAcentral